AACUAACGCUGGCGGCGUGCCUAACACAUGCAAGUCGUACGAGAAAGCCGGCUUCGGCUGGUGAGUAAAGUGGCGCACGGGUGAGUAACGCGUGGAUAAUCUGCCCUUAAGUGUGGAAUAACGUACCGAAAGGUGCGCUAAUACCGCAUAAUGCCUGGCAACACAAGUUGUCCGGCCAAAGAAGGCCUCUGUUUACAAGCUUUCGCUUCAGGAUGAGUCCGCGUACCAUUAGCUUGUUGGUGGGGUAAUGGCCUACCAAGGCUGCGAUGGUUAGCUGGUCUGAGAGGAUGAUCAGCCACACUGGAACUGAGACACGGUCCAGACUCCUACGGGAGGCAGCAGUGAGGAAUAUUGCGCAAUGGGGGCAACCCUGACGCAGCAACGCCGCGUGAGUGAGGAAGGCCUUCGGGUCGUAAAGCUCUGUCCUUGGGAAGAAGGCGAAAGCUUGACGGUACCCAAGAAGAAAGACCCCGGCUAACUACGUGCCAGCAGCCGC
This 496-nucleotide ribosomal RNA is filed under the name uncultured bacterium. RNAcentral describes it as "bacterial SSU rRNA". It matches the Rfam family "Bacterial small subunit ribosomal RNA", at positions 29 to 518 of the family's 1533-position model. The record is from RNAcentral.